UAAUACCGGAUAGAUCAAAGAUACUGGAAUGUUCCUCGAUCCAAAGCUCCGGCGUCCAAGGAUGGAUCUGCGGCCUAUCAGGUAGUAGUGGGUGUAACGUACCUACUAGCCUACGACGGGUACGGGUUGUGAGAGCAAGAGCCCGGAGAUGGAUUCUGAGACAUGAAUCCAGGCCCUACGGGGCGCAGCAGGCGCGAAAUCUUUACAAUGCAGGAAACUGCGAUAAGGGGACCCCGAGUGCCAGCAUCUAAUGCUGGCUGUCCAGCUGUGUAAAUAGCAGUUGUUAGCAAGGGCCGGGCAAGACCGGUGCCAGCCGCCGCGGUAACACCGGUGGCCCGAGUGGUAACCGAUUUUAUUGGGUUUAAAGGGUCCGUAGCCGGCCUGUUAAGUCUCUUGGGAAAUCUGGCGGCUCAAUCGUCAGGCGUUC
RNAcentral lists this ribosomal RNA (427 nucleotides) under uncultured archaeon. Its description in RNAcentral is "bacterial SSU rRNA". It matches the Rfam family "Archaeal small subunit ribosomal RNA", at positions 147 to 575 of the family's 1478-position model. The record is from RNAcentral.